CCGACUAACCAAUAUAAUAGUUUUCUUUGGAAUGUAUGUCAGCCUUUGGGUGUGCUUGGUUGACACAAUUUUUGCCGAAAAGCUUACUACGAGUGAGGCCUUAGUUUUAUCUUUUAUUUUAGUUAAGUCAUUACCUAACCAUUCUAGAUGAUAAUAGAAGUAAAAGCAACCACAGCUGUUAAGUCAUACAUUACUUGACAACAGGAGAUUUUAUAUUGCAUGAGUUGAUACUACGAUGCUCAACAGUGAUCAAGUGCAUUCAUAACCGAGAAUUGCGGCGAUCCGGAUCUAAUUACAUCCUGCAGGAGAGUACCCCGAUCACCAGCAUUAUACGACUGUUCCGGUCGUAUCUCACAACCUCUCGAUUAGCAAAGUCAAUGAUUAGGAAUACAACUACCCGGACCCAGGGAUGCACCCCCACAUGGGACCCCACGUCUGGCCUGAUCUCCAUGUGAGUUUCAGGCUACACCCCUGCCAAUCUCCAGCACGUCAAAUGCGGGUACGAAGCAUUCCUGAUCAUAGAAUUUACUAAUCUACUGGGCUUUACUGGUCCCAUACCCAGUAAGUGAUCAGAUGUUAUCACUUGAUCAGCGGUUAAGACACGAAUCGGGCCUUAACCAGAUUAAUCUAGCAG
RNAcentral lists this long non-coding RNA (634 nucleotides) under Setaria italica (foxtail millet). RNAcentral describes it as "long non-coding RNA (SITA_LNC002478)". Lineage: Eukaryota; Viridiplantae; Streptophyta; Magnoliopsida; Poales; Poaceae. The record is from RNAcentral.